CCACAUUUGACAUUGAGGCUUCAGUGAAUUUCUGAAAGGCUGGCCCUUCCAUCCGAAUGGUAAGAGCCCACCUGCCUUCUGAUAAUGGGCUCUGCACCAUCAGGGCACAGAAUGGAUGCUGGGUGCUUGUUGGCUGCCCUGAUGUUAUGCAUUAAGGGUACAUAUCUAACAAUGUGAGAACUAUAUCUGAUACAAAUUUUACUCCACAAGAACAAACUUGUUCUUACUUGAGGAUAAAUGACCUCAGGGAUCAUUGGCUUUUAAGUGUCAUAAAUUUUUAUGACAUUAUGAAAAAAAUGGGGGUUGCAGUAAACCACUUAGUAUUAUAUUUCCAUUUACUGGAUAAUGGAUGAGGUGUAAUGUUCUAGCAAAAGUGUGUAGACCUACAGAGGGGAGGCUAGAAAUAGAACAGGAUACAAAAUAUGUACAACAAAAUUUCCCAAGGAAGUCAAGUUAGCUUUCCUCUGAUAUGACCAAAUAUUAAAAUAUAAAGUGAAUGCUUAAGAGAAGGGUUAAUGAUUGAUGGGGUACUAAAUUAAAAUAAAACGUGAUUAAGUUCUUAAGAGACCCUAAAAUGGGAAUUUGGAAAAGGCAGGGGUAGUCAGAAUAGCAGAGAUUAGUGCUAGAUAGUAAACAGUAACCUGGGAAAGCAACUAAAGAUAAAAAAAGAAGAAUUCAAAGGGGGAAUGUUGAGAUGUGAACUUCAGAAAAAAAAGACAUUAAGAAAGGGACGUAACUGUACAUAAAACCUCCAUAUGGUAUGGAAAUCAGAUAUUUUAACUUCAAUUUGGGCUUUCAACUAGGAAAGCAGGAGUUUGAUUAGGAUUCAUAAAUUCUGAAUAAUAAGAAGGAUCCAUUUUACUAUUUUUGAUAAAGGGGAAUUGAAAAGAUGCCUCAUGUUUCAAGUGGACAAUCUUUUUGAGAUAGGUUUCCCGGAAGCUAUUCCUCCUGUAUGAGUAGCUCUUUCUCUCUCUCCUUUUUUUUAGGUGAACUAAGGUCAAAACCACUGGACAUCGGGCUAGGUGUCCAAGAGUGCUGGUGUUCAGAGGAACAAAAUACUCUGAGAAACAAAUGGAGAAACAGAGAACCACAAAACUCUGGGGAAGGUCACACUGGCAAAUAUUGGCAUAGCAAAUUGCUUCAUGAUGUAGGUAUGGCUGAAGACCUCAGUGACCCCAGGGGUCUGGCUCUGCUGCCGAGGCUGGAGUGCAGUGGUGCUAUCGUGCCUCUCUGCAGCCUCAAACUCCUUGGCUCAAGUGAUCCUCCCACCUCAACCGCCUGAGUAGCUGGUACUACAGGCAUGUGCCACCAUACCUGGCUAA
RNAcentral lists this long non-coding RNA (1322 nucleotides) under Callithrix jacchus (white-tufted-ear marmoset). Its description in RNAcentral is "lncRNA (ENSCJAG00000071164.1)". The record is from RNAcentral. Lineage: Eukaryota; Metazoa; Chordata; Mammalia; Primates; Cebidae.